Molecule: ribosomal RNA, 645 nt
Filed under: Bifidobacterium asteroides
Lineage: Bacteria; Bacillati; Actinomycetota; Actinomycetes; Bifidobacteriales; Bifidobacteriaceae
Description: bacterial SSU rRNA
Rfam family: Bacterial small subunit ribosomal RNA
Source: RNAcentral
UCGAACGGGAUCCGGGCAGCUUGCUGCCUGGUGAGAGUGGCGAACGGGUGAGUAAUGCGUGACCAACCUGCCCCAUGCUUCGGAAUAGCUCCUGGAAACGGGUGGUAAUGCCGGAUGCUCCGCACCGUCGCAUGAUGGUGUGGGAAAGGGUUUACCGGCAUGGGAUGGGGUCGCGUCCUAUCAGCUUGUUGGCGGGGUGAUGGCCUGCCAAGGCUUCGACGGGUAGCCGGCCUGAGAGGGCGACCGGCCACAUUGGGACUGAGAUACGGCCCAGACUCCUACGGGAGGCAGCAGUGGGGAAUAUUGCACAAUGGGCGCAAGCCUGAUGCAGCGACGCCGCGUGCGGGAUGACGGCCUUCGGGUUGUAAACCGCUUUUGAUUGGGAGCAAGCGAGAGUGAGUGUACCUUUCGAAUAAGCACCGGCUAACUACGUGCCAGCAGCCGCGGUAAUACGUAGGGUGCAAGCGUUAUCCGGAUUUAUUGGGCGUAAAGGGCUCGUAGGCGGUUCGUCGCGUCUGGUGUGAAAGUCCAUCGCUUAACGGUGGAUCGGCGCCGGGUACGGGCGGACUGGAGUGCGGUAGGGGAGACUGGAAUUCCCGGUGUAACGGUGGAAUGUGUAGAUAUCGGGAAGAACACCGAUGGCGA